GUGAACGCUGGCGGUAGGCCUAACACAUGCCAGUCGAACGGCAGCACAGUAAGAGCUUGCUCUUACGGGUGGCGAGUGGCGUACGGGUGAGGAAUACAUCGGAAUCUACUUUUUCGUGGGGGAUAACGUAGGGAAACUUACGCUAAUACCGCAUACGACCUACGGGUGAAAGCAGGGGAUCUUCGGACCUUGCGCGAUUGAAUGAGCCGAUGUCGGAUUAGCUAGUUGGCGGGGUAAAGGCCCACCAAGGCGACGAUCCGUAGCUGGUCUGAGAGGAUGAUCAGCCACACUGGAACUGAGACACGGUCCAGACUCCUACGGGAGGCAGCAGUGGGGAAUAUUGGACAAUGGGCGCAAGCCUGAUCCAGCCAUACCGCGUGGGUGAAGAAGGCCUUCGGGUUGUAAAGCCCUUUUGUUGGGAAAGAAAAGCAGCAGGUUAAUACCCCGCUGUUCUGACGGUACCCAAAGAAUAAGCACCGGCUAACUUCGUG
Molecule: ribosomal RNA, 491 nt
Filed under: uncultured bacterium
Lineage: Bacteria
Description: partial 16S ribosomal RNA
Rfam family: Bacterial small subunit ribosomal RNA
Source: RNAcentral